UACGAAGGGGGCUAGCGUUGCUCGGAAUCACUGGGCGUAAAGCGCACGUAGGCGGAUUGGUAAAUCAGGGGUGAAAUCCUGGAGCUCAACUCCAGAACUGCCUUUGAUACUGGCGAUCUUGAGUCCGGGAGAGGUGAGUGGAACUGCGAGUGUAGAGGUGAAAUUCGUAGAUAUUCGCAAGAACACCAGUGGCGAAGGCGGCUCACUGGCCCGAUACUGACGCUGAGGCACGAAAGCGUGGGGAGCAAACAGG
This 253-nucleotide ribosomal RNA is filed under the name uncultured bacterium. Its description in RNAcentral is "partial 16S ribosomal RNA". It matches the Rfam family "Bacterial small subunit ribosomal RNA", at positions 524 to 776 of the family's 1533-position model. The record is from RNAcentral.